This is a long non-coding RNA of Sparus aurata (gilthead seabream), 1578 nucleotides long. NCBI's taxonomy places the organism in Eukaryota, Metazoa, Chordata, Actinopteri, Spariformes, Sparidae. The record is from Ensembl.
AUGGACUUUUUUUCAUCUUUGUGGGGUUCACUUAGAAACAUGUUGUCAUCUCCAACAGUUGAAAAUGUGAGGAUAUCUCAAAGCAUCCCUCCUAUUCGGUUUGUGAAGCCACCAUUUGAACCGAGGCCCCUCAUUCUGUUAGAGAGGGCAGAUUUAAAUGCAUCACAGGUGCCUGGAAGUGUCUCUGGGCUGGAGAUGCCGUCAGGAAAUGCGAGGAUAUCUCAAAACAUCCCUCCUAUUCGGUGUGUGCAGUCACCCGUUGAACCGAGGCCCCUCUCCUUAUUCGAUGUGGCAGGUUUAAAUGCAUCACAGGUGCCUGGAAGUGUUUCUGGGCUGGAGAUGCGGUCCAGACCUUCUCAUGUUCGAGUGGCGGUCAGGGAGGAAAAGCUGGGAUCAUUCAAAUCACAAGUUGAGGCACUUCAGUUGGAAUUAGAAGAUACGAAGGCUGAGAACUCCAGGCUUAUAUCUGAUGUAAGCAGGCUUCAGUUGGAGGUGAAAGAUAUGAAGGCCAAAGAGAAGAUUCUGAAUGACCAGGUAAAAAAUCUCAUUGCUGAAGGGUCCCAAUGCAAGAGUCUGAAUAAGGAAUACCAAGCAGAGAUACAAGAGCUGAGAGCAUUGGUGUAUGACCUUAAAUGUGGUGCAGAGCAGACUCAACAAACGCACACCAGUGAGCUGCCUGAACUUGAACUCCUUGAACGGACGAUGCAGGACAAAGACUUUCUGGAAGCAGUGCAGGAACUGCAGGACCGUGCAAACACUCUGAACAUGCAGAAUAAGUACAUUUCUGAGCAGAAGACCCAGCUUGAAUCUACCCUGAAUGAAAAAGAGGCAGAGAAUGCAAAUCUGAGAGCAGAAGUUCAAGUUCUGCAGGUAAAUCAGACAAGAACACGUGAGUGGAUCCAGAGUCUGACUGCUGAGGUGGGCCAACUUGAAUCUCUGACAGAACUGGUGGAAGCAGAGAUUGACAGACUGAAUGUGGCAUUGCGGAGUCUUCAGAACAAAGAGGCGUUUCUGAACGAGCAGGUCAGCUGUCUCACUGCUAAGGGGGAAUACCUUGAAGGUGUAAAUGAGAAAAAACAAGCAGAGAUUGAACAGCUGAUGGCCACAGCGCGUCAUCUUAAGGAAAAUGAAGACUCUCUUAGGCAGCAGCAUGACAGCCUGGCCGAAGAGCUUUCUCAACAUAAGUCUCUGACUAAGAUCCAAAACGAAAAGAACAAAAACCUGAAGAAGGCUCUGGAUGGGCUUCAGCACCUACUGAAUGGGGCUAAGCAACAAAUCUUUGAUCAAGAUGAGCUCAUAAAAAAGCAAAAGCGUCAAACUGAGUAUAAUCAGCAACUGGUAGAGGAGCUUUACACUGAAACAACCGAUGUGAAACAAACAAUCUGUGAAGUUAACCACCAGCUGGAGAAAAGGCCGGAAGAAGAGGUGCUGGCCGGUGUUGAGACUAUCAGUCAGGAAUUUAGGGUUUUGGCUGAAAAUACAGAAAAACCAGGCCCAUCUGAGAGUCUGAGAGAUGAAGACCUCCUGGAGAGUCCAGCUGCAGAACCCCGAGCUGCUGAGGUUCAGAUCAGUAGUUGA